UCGAGAAUCUUUCACAAUGGGGGCAACCCUGAUGGAGCGACGCCGCGUGGAGGAUAAGGUCUUCGGAUUGUAAACUCCUGUCAUGCGAGAGCAAGGUGGCGCGGAUAAUACCCGCGUUAUUUGAUAGUAUCGCAAGAGGAAGAGACGGCUAACUCUGUGCCAGCAGCCGCGGUAAUACAGAGGUCUCAAGCGUUGUUCGGAAUCACUGGGCGUAAAGGGUGCGUAGGCGGUUUGGCAAGUCAGAUGUGAAAGGCGGGGGCUCAACCCCUGGACUGCAUCCGAUACUGCCGGACUAGAGAGCUGGAGAGGAGUCUAGAAUUCUCGGUGUAGCAGUGAAAUGCGUAGAUAUCGAGAGGAAUACCAAUGGCGAAGGCAGGACUCUGGACAGUUUCUGACGCUG
Molecule: ribosomal RNA, 400 nt
Filed under: uncultured bacterium
Lineage: Bacteria
Description: bacterial SSU rRNA
Rfam family: Bacterial small subunit ribosomal RNA
Source: RNAcentral